CCUACGGUAGGCAGCAGUGGGGAAUAUUGGACAAUGGGGGAAACCCUGCUCCAGCGACGCCGCGUUAGUGAAGAAGUAUUUCGGUACGUAAAGCUCUAUCAGCAGGAAAGAAAAUGACGGUCCCUGACUAAGAAGCCCCGGCUAACUACGUGCCAGCAGCCGAGGUAAUACGUAGGGGGCAAGCGUUAUCCGGAUUUACUGGGUGUAAAGGUGGCGUAGACGGAAGAUCAAGUCAGCGGUAAAAUUGAGAGGCUCAACCUCGUCGAGCCGUUGAAACUGGUUUUCUUGAGUGAGUGAGAAGUAUGCGGAAUGCGUGGUGUAGCGGUGAAAUGCAUUGAUAUCACGCAGAACUCCGAUUGCGAAGGCAGCAUACCGGCGCUCAACUGACGCUCAUGCACGAAAGUGUGGGUAUCGAACAGGAUUAGAUACCCGGGUAGUC
This 439-nucleotide ribosomal RNA is filed under the name uncultured bacterium. Its description in RNAcentral is "partial 16S ribosomal RNA". It matches the Rfam family "Bacterial small subunit ribosomal RNA", at positions 338 to 795 of the family's 1533-position model. The record is from RNAcentral.